CUAACAAGGAUUCCCUUAGUAACUGCGAGUGAAGAGGGAAAAGCUCAAAUUUAAAAUCUGGCAGUGCUUCACUGUCCGAGUUGUAACCUAGAGAAGUGUAACCUGCGCUGGACCGUGUAUAAGUCUCCUGGAAUGGAGCAUCACAGAGGGUGAGAAUCCCGUCUUUGACACGGACUACCAGUGCAUUGUGGUUGCGCUCUCAACGAGUCGAGUUGUUUGGGAAUGCAGCUCUAAAUGGGUGGUAAAUUCCAUCUAAAGCUAAAUAUUGGCGAGAGACCGAUAGCGAACAAGUACCGUGAGGGAAAGAUGAAAAGAACUUUGGAAAGAGAGUUAAACAGUAUGUGAAAUUGUUGAAAGGGAAACGUUUGAAGUCAGUCGCGUUGGUUGGGGAUCAGCCUGACAUUUGUUGGGUGUACUUCCUGGUUGACGGGCCAACAUCAGUUUUGACUGCCAGAAAAAGGCCAAAGGAAUGUGGCACCUUUGGGUGUGUUAUAGCCCUUGGUCGUAUAUGGUGGUUGGGACUGAGGAAAGCAGCRUGCCGAAAGGCCGGGUUUCGACCACGUUCACGCUGAGGAUGUUGGCAUAAUGGCUUUAAGCGACCCGUCUUGAAACACGGACCAAGGAGUCUAACAUGCGUGCGAGUGUUUGGGUGGAAAACCCUUACGCGUAAUGAAAGUGAAAGUUGAGAUCCCUGUCGCGGGGAGCAUCGACGCCCGGACCAGAACUUUUGGGACGGAUCUGCGGUAGAGCAUGUAUGUUGGGACCCGAAAGAUGGUGAACUAUGCCUGAAUAGGGUGAAGCCAGAGGAAACUCUGGUGGAGGCUCGUAGCGAUUCUGACGUGCAAAUCGAUCGUCAAAUUUGGGUAUAGGGGCGAAAGACUAAUCG
This 886-nucleotide ribosomal RNA is filed under the name Amanita spissacea. Its description in RNAcentral is "eukaryotic LSU rRNA". It matches the Rfam family "Eukaryotic large subunit ribosomal RNA", at positions 65 to 937 of the family's 3401-position model. Lineage: Eukaryota; Fungi; Basidiomycota; Agaricomycetes; Agaricales; Amanitaceae. The record is from RNAcentral.